CUGGCGGCAUGCCUCAUACAUGCAAGUCGAACGAGGUUUUCGGACCUAGUGGCGCACGGGUGAGUAACAUGUGGGAAUCUGCCUGAAGGUUCGGAAUAACUGCGGGAAACUGUAGCUAAUACCGGAUGUGUCUGCAAAGAGAAAGAUUUAUCGCCUUCAGAUGAGCCCGCACUAGAUUAGCUAGUUGGUGAGGUAAUUGCUCCACCAAGGCUACGAUCUAUAGCUGAUUUGAGAGGAUGAUCAGCCACACUGGGACUGAGACACGGCCCAGACUCCUACGGGAGGCAGCAGUAGGGAAUAUUGGACAAUGGGGGAAACCCUGAUCCAGCAAUGCCGCGUGAGUGAAGAAGGCCUUCGGGUUGUAAAACUCUUUCAUCAAUGAUGAUAAUGACAUUAGUUGAAGAAGAAGCUCCGGCUAACUUCGUGCCAGCAGCCGCGGUAAUACGAAGGGGGCUAGCGUUGUUCGGAAUCACUGGGCGUAAAGCGUAUGUAGGCGGAUCAAAAAGUUAGAUGUGAAAUCCCUGGGCUCAACCCAGGAACUGCAUUUAAAACUAGUGAUCUAGAAUUUGGUAGGGGUUAGUAGAAUUUCCAGUGUAGAGGUGAAAUUCGUAGAUAUUGGAAAGAAUACCAGUGGCGAAGGCGACUAACUGGGCCAUUUUUGACGCUGAGAUACGAAAGCGUGGGUAGCAAACAGGAUUAGAUACCCUGGUAGUCCACGCAGUAAACGAUGAGUGCUAGUCGCUGGGACAAUAGUUUCAGUGUCGAAGCUAACGCAUUAAGCACUCCGCCUGGGAAGUACGGU
This 802-nucleotide ribosomal RNA is filed under the name uncultured Alphaproteobacteria bacterium. RNAcentral's name for it is "bacterial SSU rRNA". It matches the Rfam family "Bacterial small subunit ribosomal RNA", at positions 36 to 886 of the family's 1533-position model. Lineage: Bacteria; Pseudomonadati; Pseudomonadota; Alphaproteobacteria. The record is from RNAcentral.